Molecule: RNA transcript, 5360 nt
Organism: Dreissena polymorpha
Lineage: Eukaryota; Metazoa; Mollusca; Bivalvia; Myida; Dreissenidae
Gene name: cytoplasmic polyadenylation element-binding protein 1-like
Exons: 16
Source: RefSeq, a predicted model, not a curated record
AUAGUGACGUCACAUUGCACGAUUUCCCAAUGAUACAUGUUCAAUCAAUUGUCAAAAUGCAAGCAGAAGUUCAUAACAAAUCAGUUGCCAGUGAACUUUGAGAAGGCAUACACGAAAAAAUCAGAUUAUUUAUAAAGACGAAAAUCGGUCACAUUUAUUUCGGUCAGAAUAAAAUUCGAACCAGUGGUUGGAACAUCCGCUCGAAGCGUCUGCGCCAGUGACAUUGCUGAACAGUUUUGUCAACUACAAUGUCUGUUCUGCAAGAUGACUAUGACCAGGGGGGCAUUGCAACUGGAGGGUACAGUAUGGGUACCGGAUGUGACAUCUUCCAGCGCCUGAAUGCCAUGCUGGACAACACCCUUGAUGUGACCAACCUUGCUGCCCUAACCAAGGAUCAAACCUCGCACCACUCUGCAAUGAAUCCUCUGUCUCACAUGCUGGGCCCACACAGUCAGCAGGGCAUGAACCACCAUAUCUCUACAGCCACUGGCUACCAUGACAAUGCAUACUCCAACCAGACCUCUAAUCAAUUCCCAGGUUUCCAGCUGUUCUACCCAAACCAAGGCAGCCAACAGUACCAGGGCUACUCCCACUACAAGACUGACCCGUCCUACCAGUCAUUUGGUCAGCUGAAGCAGCAGGACAUGUACAGCGGUCAGCUGAAGCAGCAGGACAUGUACAGUGGUCAGCUGAAGCAGCAGGACAUGUACAGUGGACAGCUAAAGCAGCAGGACAUGUACAGUGGUCAGCUGAAGCAGCAGGACAUGUACAGUGGUCAGCUUAAGCAGCAGGACAUGUACAAUGGUCAGCACUCACAGCCGUUCAGCAAGCUGCUAGCAGAGAGCACCAUGUUCAAGAUGGAUGGCAAGCCUUCCACAGACACGCCUCAAAAGUCCUCACGAGCUAUUAGAGGCUCACCUGGAUACAGCGAUUACGAGUCCAGUUCCGGCACGCCUGGAACCCCUGGGACCCCUCUCAAUGAGACCCUGUCACCCAUAGAACAGAUAUUUGGCCUGAUGUCCGGUAACCGGGGCCAGGGGCCAUCCACAAGGAGCAACUCCCCCUAUGACUCUGACACCAGUGGCUUCAGCAGCGAGGGCUCAGAGGCUGCUCUCCUGGAUAUGAUGAGCACACUUAAGUUGGGCAACCGCGAGGGAAAGUCUCCGAUCAAUGACCUGUCCAAGCAGCUGUACACUGCCCAGCAGCAACAACAACAGCACCAGCAGGCGGCCCUUCAACAGCAGCAGCAACAGCAGUACGCUCAACAGCAGCUACUUCAGUACCAGGCCCAACAGGUUGCCCAGGCUCAACUCCAUCACCAGCCCACUGCCAGUCUGGGAUUUACAUCUGACCCGCAGGUGCUAGGUAACCGUGUGUCCGGUCAGGUGAUGCGACCCUAUGUGAUUGCCAAUCUUGACCCCUACGCCAUUGACCGGGCCGCUAGACUGCACAGAUCUGCUGCAGGAAAUGCAAUGAGUGAGGCCAGCUGUACAUGGAGUGGCAAGAUUCCCCCAAAGAACUACAAGAGUCCCACUACGUUCUCCUGCAAGGUGUUCUUGGGAGGCGUGCCCUGGGACAUCACCGAAGCUGGGCUGCAGGCAGCUUUCAACAAGUUUGGAUCCUUCAAGAUUGAGUGGCCAGGACGUGACGGAUAUGUGUACCUGCUGUUUGAAUCGGAGAAGGCAGUGCGUCUGUUGCUACAGGAGUGUACCCAUGACUACAGCACUGGAGAGUACUACUUCAACAUCUCCAGUCGUAGAAUGAGGUCCAAGGAGGUGCAAGUUAUCCCGUGGAUGUUGAGUGACAGCAACUUUGUACGCCAGCCGUCACAGCGACUUGACGCCAACAAGACCGUGUUUGUGGGAGCCCUUCACGGAAUGAUCUCCGCCGAGAUCCUGUCUAUCAUCAUGAAUGAUCUCUUUGGAAAUGUUGUCUACGCCGGCAUCGACUCUGAUAAACACAAGUAUCCUAUUGGCAGUGGCCGUGUGACCUUCAGUAGUCGCCGUAGUUACAUGAAGGCCGUUCAGGCAGCCUUUGUGGAGAUCAAGACUCCAAAGUUUACCAAGAAGAUCCAGAUUGACCCAUACCUGGAGGACAGUAUCUGCACAGUGUGCAACCUGCAGCCUGGGCCGUAUUUCUGUCGAGAUCUGCAGUGCUUCAAGUACUUCUGUCGCACCUGCUGGUACUGGAAACACGACGCAGAUGCCAUGAGGAGCCAUAAGCCUCUCAGCAGGAACACCAAGGGACAUGCCAGCCUGGGGGUCCUCUAGCAAGGGUAAGAAAUUCAGAUCAGCAUUUGUCUACAACAACUCUCAAUGUCUAGCUGACAUGAAGACCUAGCUGGGCGCUGUAUUGGUGCUAGUUGGGUCAAGGUCACUAGAUUCUCCUUAGAAACUAAAAGAAAUCAAGAUAAUGUCAUGGAACUAUAAAAUUUGUUUCAGCUCCUGUGACUUCCUGCCGCCAUCGAAGACUACUGGAUGAUUUCAAUCUAAAUUAAUGACCUAACGAAUGGCCAAUGGACAAUCGAUAACAAUCGUGUGCUGACACUGUCAGAACAAAGUUAACAAGUUAUCAUAAAAAAGUGUGAUGUUAUAUCUGUCAGGGUAAUGAUUGUUAAUUUGCAGCUCACAGCAAGUGGGCUUGUGUAAAGUGCUUGUAUUUAGGCCAUUUCAGGCCACCACUUAUUUGUUGAAUUGUGUGUAAUAAUCUAUAUGUCUUUCAUUAUUGUGUUUGUCUUUCUGUCAUUGAUCAUUCAUAUGUGAUUAUUUUUUAUGGUAAUUUGAUUUUUAGGCAUAGCAACAGUAUCCUGAUUGUGUUACAUACUUUUUGAUUGGAUAACAUCGCUUUCUCACCACACUUUGAUCCCUGAAUACUUUCCGGCAUCAUAAAACUGUUGUUAUAUAUAUAGCCGAUGGCCCUUUUUGAACUGUGAUAAUGUUUGUUUUUUUAAUUGUUUGGAGAAAACAUUUAACCAAACAUGUUCUCAAUUUCAUUAUUGAAUUUGUUUUCCAGCAUUGUUUAUGCUUGUUUUUUGUAUUAUUCUGUGCCUUUCCAAUUCAUUGCCAUAGCAUGUAUUGAUGCAAGGCUUCUGUGUUUACAAUAUCGUGUUUGUCUGAUUUCACACUUAGUUGUGUGAAUAAGUUUGUAGUUUUGAACACUUGCCUUACUUCAUGUAUUUGUGUAUAUGUGUAUUUAUGUUGGUCUUCACUUUGUACAUCUAUUGAGGAAGCAUUGGGGAUACUCGGAGCCUACAGACUUUGGUCCUUCACACAUCUAACUUACCUUAUUUUGGGAGGCAUACAAAUAUAUGUUUUUUUCAAAGCCCUCACAUUUUCAGACGCACCAUUUGGGGAGUCGUUUUUUUUACAACUUCAUUUUUUUGAGAGUUCCCUGCAGUAAAAAACUUAUUUUGUAAGGGUCUGACUUGGAUUAUUUGUGCAGUUUGAAAACCGAACUGCUUGAUAAAGGCAUGUAGAUACCAUGUUGCCUUGGAUGUUAUUAAGUUAUUUAUGUCUGUGACAUUGAAUGCAAUCAAGUUAAUUACCAUAUGACUUUGUUGCUAUGUUCUAAUACGGCGGGUGAGUAAUUUUCCAUUGCUUCCGCUACCAGAUCUGUUUAUCUUGCUGUCAAUCCGUCUCUUGUUUUGUCCUGUGUAUGUACCAGUCUUGUCACAUCCACUGUUUCUUGUUUUCAGGAGAAAAUUAAUGUAUUUUGCUUUGGUUAAUCUAUUCACUAUUUUUUAUUUGUAUAUAUCGAUGAUGAUAUAGGUAAUGAAACUAUAGCCCAUAUUAGACAAAGAACAUUGUACCAGAUAAAGGUAAUUUCAGUGCUGAUUUUCUUUCUACAUUUUUUUUUGAAAUUGUCGAUGGUUGAUUGCUUUUGUUUUAAAUAUACUUGUAUUAGCUUUUAUCCUUUGAUUAGGUUAUAAUCUAGUAGUUGAGAAAAAUCAAUUUUCAGUUUGAUUUUCGUGUGUUAAUAAGUGUCUUAACAUAAAUUUUUAUCAGUUAAUAAUUCAUAUACAUAAAGAAUUUUAGUACUGAAAUCAGUAAGUAAAUGUUUUUUAGAAACAAAUUUUUUCUUUGCAUUGAGCAUUGUGGCCAUACCAUGUAAAUUUUGCUAGUGUGAAGUAAAAUUAGCUCCAAUAAAAAAACUGUGCAUCUUAUUCUGAACUUGGAUUUUAACAAAAUAAAGCUCUUGCUACGAGAAAAAUUAACCCCACCCUUGCUUAUAGAUAUAUUCGUCACCAGAUCGAUAGUCUUUUCUAUGAUUCAUGGCAAAUAUUUGCCAUCACAGCACAUCAUUUGCCUUGAAUGAUAGGCAAAUUCAUAAAAUAGUGACAAUGGUUAGAGUUCACUUUUCCCCAAAACACGAGCUUAAUUUUGACAAAAUCAAGAUGAGAAUAAUAUACUUACAAAGUUUUUUAACUAUAAAGCUGAGAAAAAAGUAUGUCCACACUCUAAAGGCUGAAAAUAUUUAUUUUUCAAUUUAAAUUUUUAUAGUUUUUUAAUUUUGCAAAAAUUGAAUUUUAUAUAAAUUCAUUGUUGAUUUUUGUGUGUGAAUCUAUUGCAAUUAAAAACAUCUUUAAAAUCUCAUUAAAAACUUCCAUUUAUGACUCAAUAUAAAAAAGUCAUUAAAUUAAGUGAUUUCAAUUUUAGUAAUAUUUUGUAUAAAUGUUUUAUUCUUAUUUAUUAACAAUGACCCUUGGUGUAUCCGCCAAUUAUUUCGUCAAAUAAUUUCCCUUCAUAAAACAUUAUUUAUGAUAACAAUUUUCCUAAGGUAAACAAUGUUAUGGAUUCCUAAAUUUUCAAAAACCUGUAUACAAAAUAACUGCAUUAAAUACAUUAAGGGUCCUAUGUUAGAAUCUGAUAUUUUAAUCGGCACGAAGAUGCAAUCUGAGUAAUGGUAUUAUUAUUAUAAUUGGUUUGUGUUAUAUCAAUGAUAUAUAAAAUAAUUUACUUUUUAGACAAUCAGUCUUGCCUUGAUGGUAAUGUUUGUUUUAUUAUCGGAACGGCUUCUGUGCUCGUUCCUAUAUUUUACUUCCAAUAAUGGCUUAAUUAUUGAGCCUUUCGAGUUUUUUAAUCUCACAAGUAUAUAUAACUAAGCUUUUAGCAACAUCACAAGUGAACAUUUUAGUUUUUGGUUUGUCCUGAACAUUUCAGUUCUCAAUCAUGAAAACACAGGCAGUGUUGUAUAUUUUACCCUUUUUCAGACUUUAUGACCUUGGCAAGAAAUGUUUGCAGUUUUUAUAAUGCCAAAGUGUAUGAGAUACAUACAAGAGACUAUUGCUAGUGUACAUAGCUAUUUUGCCCGUUUUCUCUGGGAUCUGUCUUCUAUUAUCUUGCUUUCUUUCUAUAGCUCUU